Molecule: long non-coding RNA, 560 nt
Filed under: Anas platyrhynchos (mallard)
Lineage: Eukaryota; Metazoa; Chordata; Aves; Anseriformes; Anatidae
Description: lncRNA (ENSAPLG00020008967.1)
Source: RNAcentral
ACCUUCCCAAAUUCAGUGCUGAAAUGCAGCUUUCAAUCACGGGAAGGAGGUCCAAAAUCUGAAGGAAAAUACUUCAAAAGUGUGGAAAGCAAAACUGUUCUCUCAAGCCCAUCUGCUGGAUAUGAUUAGUCUGUGGACAUUUUUCCCUCCAAAUUUUCAGCUCCUUAUGUGCAAACUAAACAAAUGGAAGGCUUCUGCUAAGCUUCGACUCUCACAAAACUCAGCUCCUUGCCUCCAACGAAUCAACAGCCACAAACCCCGUGCAGGCUGGGAAGAAAGAAGAGGGCUAGGUACUGUACAAACACAGGACAGCUGCACAGAUAUUAUCACAGAACAACAGGCUGAAUGGAUUUUGAAAGAUCAGAGUUUAUCAUGCUGCCCCAAGGCAAGAUUAACUAUCCCUGUGUUAUUCCUAAAAGAUGUUUGUAUAAGUCGUUCUUAAAGGCCUCCAAAGAUGGACACUCCACAGCUUCCCAGGGCAAUUUAUUCUGGUGCUUUACCACCCUUCCUGUCACAGAGUUUUUUCCCAUCAUGUUUAACAUAAAUUUCUCUUACUGCAG